UCCCGUUUAGCUCAGUUGGUAGAGCGCGUCACUAGUAUGGGGUGCGUCAUUCUCAGCGCAAUGACGAGGUCAGUCGUUCGAGUCGGCUAAUGGGAA
Non-coding RNA from Cerioporus squamosus, 96 nucleotides. The record is from the annotation of a GenBank genome assembly. NCBI's taxonomy places the organism in Eukaryota, Fungi, Basidiomycota, Agaricomycetes, Polyporales, Polyporaceae.